This 243-nucleotide ribosomal RNA is filed under the name uncultured bacterium. RNAcentral's name for it is "partial small subunit ribosomal RNA". It matches the Rfam family "Bacterial small subunit ribosomal RNA", at positions 26 to 285 of the family's 1533-position model. The record is from RNAcentral.
AGAAUCAACGCUGGCGGCGUGCCUAACACAUGCAAGUCGAACGAGAAAGUGGAGCAAUCCAUGAGUAAAGUGGCGACCGGGUGAGUAACACGUGACUAAUCUACCUUCGAGUGGGGGAUAACCUCGGGAAACCGAGGCUAAUACCGCAUAACAUCGCAAGAUCAAAGCAGCAAUGCGCUGGAAGAGGGGGUCGCGGCUGAUUAGCUAGUUGGCGGGUAACGCCCACCAAGGCGAAGAUCGGUA